GACGAACGCUGGCGGCGUGCCUAAUACAUGCCAGUCGAACGCUGAAGCUUGGUGCUUGCACCGAGCGGAUGAGUUGCGAACGGGUGAGUAACGCGUAGGUAACCUGCCUGGUAGCGGGGGAUAACUAUUGGAAACGAUAGCUAAUACCGCAUAAGAGUAGAUGUUGCAUGACAUUUGCUUAAAAGGUGCAAUUGCAUCACUACCAGAUGGACCUGCGUUGUAUUAGCUAGUUGGUGAGGUAACGGCUCACCAAGGCAACGAUACAUAGCCGACCUGAGAGGGUGAUCGGCCACACUGGGACUGAGACACGGCCCAGACUCCUACGGGAGGCAGCAGUAGGGAAUCUUCGGCAAUGGACGGAAGUCUGACCGAGCAACGCCGCGUGAGUGAAGAAGGUUUUCGGAUCGUAAAGCUCUGUUGUAAGAGAAGAACGAGUGUGAGAGUGGAAAGUUCACACUGUGACGGUAUCUUACCAGAAAGGGACGGCUAACUACGUG
Molecule: ribosomal RNA, 497 nt
Filed under: uncultured bacterium
Lineage: Bacteria
Description: partial 16S ribosomal RNA
Rfam family: Bacterial small subunit ribosomal RNA
Source: RNAcentral